Molecule: non-coding RNA, 134 nt
Filed under: Salmo salar (Atlantic salmon)
Lineage: Eukaryota; Metazoa; Chordata; Actinopteri; Salmoniformes; Salmonidae
Also listed under: 1 other name
Description: Eukaryotic large subunit ribosomal RNA
Rfam family: Eukaryotic large subunit ribosomal RNA
Source: Rfam by way of RNAcentral
GACUGGGGCGGUACACCUGUCAAACGGUAACGCAAGCGUCCUAAGGCGAGCUCAGGGAGGACAAAAACCUCCCGUCGAGCAGAAGGGCAAAAGCUUGCUUGAUCUUGAUUGCUAUGUGGGAUUCGAGCAUUUGG